This 405-nucleotide ribosomal RNA is filed under the name uncultured bacterium. RNAcentral's name for it is "bacterial SSU rRNA". It matches the Rfam family "Bacterial small subunit ribosomal RNA", at positions 355 to 776 of the family's 1533-position model. The record is from RNAcentral.
UAGGGAAUAUUGCUUAAUGGGCGAAAGCCUGAAGCAGCAACGCCGCGUGUGUGAAGAAGGCCUUCGGGUUGUAAAACACUUUUUGAGGGGAUGAGGAAGGACAGUACCCUCAGAAUAAGCCUCGGCUAACUACGUGCCAGCAGCCGCGGUAAAACGUAGGAGGCGAGCGUUAUCCGGAUUUACUGGGCGUAAAGCGCGUGUAGGCGGCACGGCAAGUUGGAUGUGAAAGCUCCCGGCUUAACUGGGAGAGGUCGUUCAAAACUGCCGAGCUAGAGUGCGGGAGAGGGAGGUGGAAUUCCGGGUGUAGUGGUGAAAUGCGUAGAUAUCCGGAGGAACACCAGUGGCGAAAGCGGCCUCCUGGUCCGCAACUGACGCUCAGACGCGAAAGCUAGGGUAGCAAACGGG